This 80-nucleotide ribosomal RNA is filed under the name uncultured Dinobryon. RNAcentral describes it as "partial Bacterial large subunit ribosomal RNA". Lineage: Eukaryota; Chrysophyceae; Chromulinales. The record is from RNAcentral.
UUUGUGCACCUUUACUAUAGCUUUGCAGUGGUAUUCGGUGUGUCAUGUGUAGGAUUGGUGGGAGCAUACGAAGUUUUGAC